Long non-coding RNA from Xiphophorus hellerii (green swordtail), 416 nucleotides. RefSeq lists it as uncharacterized. The record is from RefSeq and is a predicted model, not a curated record. The transcript has 4 exons. NCBI's taxonomy places the organism in Eukaryota, Metazoa, Chordata, Actinopteri, Cyprinodontiformes, Poeciliidae.
AAUUCUGUUCCCCUGUGAAAAUCUGCCCCCCUGUGUCGGGAGCGCGCAUUGCAACCAGAGAGGCGGAUCUGACCAUUUUCACGGCGCUUCUGAUCGAUUUCUCGUUAUGAAGGGGGAACCAUUCUGGGAAUCAACAAUCAUCACCACCACUGGACUUUAGUGGUGAUCUACCCACAAGAGAAAAAGUCUUUGUCCUUGAAUCCACUGGGGGAAUCAAAACAAGACAUCCAGAAAUGUUUGCAAAUCGCAAGGGCAUUUAUGAGGAAGAAGGGGUGCAAUGUCUCACGUUGGACAUGUGACCCAGUCAAGCAUCCAAAACAACAAGAUAGUUCAUCAUGUGGUGGAUUUUCACUGAAGGUUUCAGACAUAUUGUCACACAGUGUAUGACUUUAGGAUUUUGAUAUAUAUUUUGAGAC